Molecule: ribosomal RNA, 322 nt
Filed under: uncultured bacterium
Lineage: Bacteria
Description: bacterial SSU rRNA
Rfam family: Bacterial small subunit ribosomal RNA
Source: RNAcentral
AGCGAACGUUAGCGGCAGGCUUAACACAUGCAAGUCGAGCGCGAACGCGUCCUUCGGGGCGCAAGUAGAGCGGCGGACGGGUGAGUACAAAGUGGAUAAUCUGCCCUCCAAUGGGGGACAACCACUCGAAAGGGUGGCUAAUACCGCAUACGUCGUUUCUGUCUGCGGACGGAAACGGGAAAGCUGGGGAUCUUCGGACCUGGCGUUGGAGGAGGAGUCCGCUUCGCAUCAGCUUGAUGGUGAGGUAAUGGCUCACCAUGGCUUAGACGCGUAGCUGGUCUGAGAGGAUGAUCAGCCACACUGGGACUGAGACACGGCCCAG